Molecule: ribosomal RNA, 120 nt
Filed under: Candidatus Bathyarchaeota archaeon
Lineage: Archaea; Thermoproteati; Candidatus Bathyarchaeota
Also listed under: 1 other name
Source: RNAcentral
GUUGCCGGCCAUAGGGCGUGGGACCCACCUGAACCCGUUCCGAACUCAGAAGUUAAACUACGCUCCGUUUCCGGCUGUAGUACGGUCUUCGGCCGCGCAAAACCGGAAAAGCCAGCAGCC